UCCAAUCAGUAACAAGGGUUUAUUCGUUUAUCAAUCUAGUAUAUGUUGAAUUGAAUAUGUUAAGUGUGCAAAUGAAGGUUACUCCUUCUGUCUUAUUAUAGUUUUCAAAACAAGACUUUUAUUUUAUUUAUUUAUUUUUUAAAAUAAAGCGAAUAAUUUCAAUUUUGUGGUGGGUCCCACCCAUUACUAUCAUUUUUUUUUCCAAAAGAAAAAACACAGAAGUGGGACAACCAAAUGAAAAGAUUGACGAAAUGGCACGAUUAUUCUGUUUAUUUAUAAUUUCCCAAACCUAGAAGGCUCUACAAUCCUUGGAGUGAGAAAUGGAAGUGGGUGGCCGACAAGCAGAGAGAGGUUAGACAGAGCAAAAGUAUCAUUCCUUGGUUAUCGUCGCAGGAGAUAUUGGCACCGCAUCAUCCUCUCUCCUGUUCGGCCUCCCGAGGAUGAGUAGUGGUUUGUGGGUGCCAAUACUCCUGUGACCGAAAAGCAAGGAAUGGAGAUCGGAGGCGGUUUCAGGCGAAGCCGAAUCCGCUAAAGCAGGAUCUCUCUAUCUCCAACUUCAUUUAUAUAGGUUUGUGGGUGCCAAUACUCCUGUGACCGAAAAGCAAGGAAUGGACAUCGGAGGCGUUUCAGGCGAAGCCGAAUCCGCUAAACCUCCAACUUCAUUUGUAUGUAUGUAUGUGAUAUUCUCUUGCUGUCUUUUUAUCCUCUAAUAUUUUGUGAAUUUUGUUUUUUUA
This is a long non-coding RNA of Cornus florida, 734 nucleotides long. RefSeq lists it as uncharacterized. The record is from RefSeq and is a predicted model, not a curated record. Lineage: Eukaryota; Viridiplantae; Streptophyta; Magnoliopsida; Cornales; Cornaceae. The transcript has 2 exons.